RNAcentral lists this unclassified non-coding RNA (1008 nucleotides) under Hevea brasiliensis (rubber tree). The record is from RNAcentral. Lineage: Eukaryota; Viridiplantae; Streptophyta; Magnoliopsida; Malpighiales; Euphorbiaceae.
GGGAUGUAUCCAACUCAGUGUUGCUAAGCACUGAUAGCAGCCAAGGGGAAAUUUCAAGCAAGACAGGCCGGUUUUCUUUGAAACAUUACCAUAAUCUGCAUAUUAGGGUCUGUGUUCAGGUGGUUCAAAGUUCAAACAAAAUUAGAAGGUGUCCACAGAUUCCACAUAUUUGGAUAAUACAUGUGUUUGGUUGACUAAUAAGGGCAAUGCACCAAAUUAAUAGGUAAUGACGUCAAAAUUCGCCCCUUGAACCAAUAUCAAUGGCUAAUCACUCAAAAUUAAUUAUGUGGCCAAAUUAACCCAUAAGUUUAUUUUUUGGGGCAAUUAAAUCCAAAAUCUGACUACAAACCCAAAAAUAUAUGCUUAAUUCAGUCAAAAUUAGGACUUAAUUGCCACAUAAUAAAACUUAUGGGCUGAUUUGCCCACAAAGUUAAUUUUGGAGUGAUUUGCCCUUGAUGGCAAGUUCAAGAGGCAAAUUGUUACUUUAAUACUUCACCCAUUAAAAAGACAAAAGUAGAGUAAGGCUCAGAUUUCAAUUUGGAGAAACAAAAAAUCAGCUUGAAAGAGAGAAAAUAUUAGAAGAUGAAUGUCUUUUGUGUGUCUAUGUCAGUGUGUCAUUCUUUUAUUCCUAUAUGGGAGGGCAAAGCGGGAAGUGGUUGGAUUGGUUAAUUAGAAGUCAAUAACUUAUAUGUCAAUGUGAAUAUUCUAGACCAACAAAGUUACAUAAGAGAAGAAGCUAUUGACGUAUCUUGAGUCUUGACUAUUCUCUAAUAGCUUCUAUUUUCAUUUUAAGGAGAAAAUCUACUGGGAGUAAGAAGGAAAUAACUAAAAGUUAAAGACAUCUUUCCAAGAUAUAAACUAUUGAUAAUGCUUAAUAAUUGAGUAACAAUAAUCAAGAAAAAUAAGAAGCUCUAGCAUAGAAAUGCUUUAUUCUUAAUCUUGAAAACCAAUGUAACUAUUCUUAUGAAACAUCUAUUCCCAUUUCCCAAACUACAACAACUAUAACCU